UGCUGUGAACUCGAAGAGUAGGGCGGGACACGUGGUAUCCUGUCUGAAUAUGGGGGGACCAUCCUCCAAGGCUAAAUACUCCUGACUGACCGAUAGUGAACCAGUACCGUGAGGGAAAGGCGAAAAGAACCCCGGCGAGGGGAGUGAAAAAGAACCUGAAACCGUGUACGUACAAGCAGUGGGAGCCUCUUUAUGGGGUGACUGCGUACCUUUUGUAUAAUGGGUCAGCGACUUAUAUUCUGUAGCAAGGUUAACCGUAUAGGGGAGCCGAAGGGAAACCGAGUCUUAACUGGGCGUUAAGUUGCAGGGUAUAGACCCGAAACCCGGUGAUCUAGCCAUGGGCAGGUUGAAGGUUGGGUAACACUAACUGGAGGACCGAACCGACUAAUGUUGAAAAAUUAGCGGAUGACCUGUGGCUGGGGGUGAAAGGCCAAUCAAACCGGGAGAUAGCUGGUUCUCCCCGAAAGCUAUUUAGGUAGCGCCUCGUGAACUCAUCUUCGGGGGUAGAGCACUGUUUCGGCUAGGGGGCCAUCCCGGCUUACCAACCCGAUGCAAACUACGAAUACCGAAGAAUGUUAUCACGGGAGACACACGGCGGGUGCUAACGUCCGUCGUGAAGAGGGAAACAACCCAGACCGCCAGCUAAGGUCCCAAAGUCAUGGUUAAGUGGGAAACGAUGUGGGAAGGCACAGACAGCCAGGAUGUUGGCUUAGAAGCAGCCAUCAUUUAAAGAAAGCGUAAUAGCUCACUGGUCGAGUCGGCCUGCGCGGAAGAUGUAACGGGGCUAAACCAUGCACCGAAGCUGCGGCAGCGACACUAUGUGUUGUUGGGUAGGGGAGCGUUCUGUAAGCCGUUGAAGGUGUGCUGUGAGGCAUGCUGGAGGUAUCAGAAGUGCGAAUGCUGACAUAAGUAACGAUAAAGCGGGUGAAAAGCCCGCUCGCCGGAAGACCAAGGGUUCCUGUCCAACGUUAAUCGGGGCAGGGUGAGUCGACCCCUAAGGCGAGGCCGAAAGGCGUAGUCGAUGGGAAACAGGUUAAUAUUCCUGUACUUGGUGUUACUGCGAAGGGGGGACGGAGAAGGCUAUGUCAGCCGGGCGACGGUUGUCCCGGUUUAAGCAUGUAGGCGGAGGUUCCAGGUAAAUCCGGUACCUUGUUAACGCUGAGGUGUGAUGACGAGGCACUACGGUGCUGAAGUGAUAAAUGCCCUGCUUCCAGGAAAAGCCUCUAAGCAUCAGGUAACACGAAAUCGUACCCCAAACCGACACAGGUGGUCAGGUAGAGAAUACCAAGGCGCUUGAGAGAACUCGGGUGAAGGAACUAGGCAAAAUGGUGCCGUAACUUCGGGAGAAGGCACGCUGAUAUGUAGGUGAAGCCCCUGCGGGCGGAGCUGAAAUCAGUCGAAGAUACCAGCUGGCUGCAACUGUUUAUUAAAAACACAGCACUGUGCAAACACGAAAGUGGACGUAUACGGUGUGACGCCUGCCCGGUGCCGGAAGGUUAAUUGAUGGGGUUAGCGGCAACGCGAAGCUCUUGAUCGAAGCCCCGGUAAACGGCGGCCGUAACUAUAACGGUCCUAAGGUAGCGAAAUUCCUUGUCGGGUAAGUUCCGACCUGCACGAAUGGCGUAAUGAUGGCCAGGCUGUCUCCACCCGAGACUCAGUGAAAUUGAACUCGCUGUGAAGAUGCAGUGUACCCGCGGCAAGACGGAAAGACCCCGUGAACCUUUACUAUAGCUUGACACUGAACACUGGUCCUUGAUGUGUAGGAUAGGUGGGAGGCUUUGAAGCGUGGACGCCAGUCUGCGUGGAGCCAACCUUGAAAUACCACCCUUUAAUGGCUGGUGUUCUAACGUAGACCCGUAAUCCGGGUUGCGGACAGUGUCUGGUGGGUAGUUUGACUGGGGCGGUCUCCUCCCAAAGAGUAACGGAGGAGCACGAAGGUUGGCUAAUCCUGGUCGGACAUCAGGAGGUUAGUGCAAUGGCAUAAGCCAGCUUGACUGCGAGCGUGACGGCGCGAGCAGGUGCGAAAGCAGGUCAUAGUGAUCCGGUGGUUCUGAAUGGAAGGGCCAUCGCUCAACGGAUAAAAGGUACUCCGGGGAUAACAGGCUGAUACCGCCCAAGAGUUCAUAUCGACGGCGGUGUUUGGCACCUCGAUGUCGGCUCAUCACAUCCUGGGGCUGAAGUAGGUCCCAAGGGUAUGGCUGUUCGCCAUUUAAAGUGGUACGCGAGCUGGGUUUAGAACGUCGUGAGACAGUUCGGUCCCUAUCUGCCGUGGGCGCUGGAGAAUUGAGGGGGGCUGCUCCUAGUACGAGAGGACCGGAGUGGACGCAUCACUGGUGUUCGGGUUGUCAUGCCAAUGGCACUGCCCGGUAGCUAAAUGCGGAAGAGAUAAGUGCUGAAAGCAUCUAAGCACGAAACUUGCCCCGAGAUGAGUUCUCCCUGAGACCUUGAGUCUCCUGAAGGAACGUUGAAGACUACGACGUUGAUAGGUCGGGUGUGUAAGCGCAGCGAUGCGUUGAGCUAACCGAUACUAAUGAACCGUGAGGCUUAACCUUACAACGCCGAAGCUGUU
RNAcentral lists this ribosomal RNA (2569 nucleotides) under Enterobacter hormaechei. Its description in RNAcentral is "partial 23S ribosomal RNA". It matches the Rfam family "Bacterial large subunit ribosomal RNA", at positions 395 to 2925 of the family's 2925-position model. Lineage: Bacteria; Pseudomonadati; Pseudomonadota; Gammaproteobacteria; Enterobacterales; Enterobacteriaceae. The record is from RNAcentral.